GAUGACACGGAGCUACCCGAUCCGUCCGAAAUGGCAGAAGUGGAGGAGACACUGAAGCGACUUCAGAGCCAGAAGGGAGUGCAGGGAAUCAUUGUGGUGAACACAGAAGGCAUUCCUAUUAAGAGUACUAUGGACAACCCCACCACCACACAGUAUGCCAACCUCAUGCACAACUUCAUCUUGAAGGCCCGGAGCACCGUGCGUGAAAUUGACCCCCAGAAUGACCUCACUUUCCUUCGAAUUCGCCCUAAGAAAAAUGAAAUUAUGGUUGCACCAGAUAAAGACUACUUCCUGAUUGUGAUCCAGAAUCCAACUGAAUAAGCCACUCUCUUGGCUCCACGCAUCAUUCCUUAAUUUAAUGCCCCCCAAGAAUAAUAGUGUUAAUCAUGUCAACCAACUGGCAGGUGGAAAUCACCUUAGAGCCCAUGCAGACCAAUCCAGUGACCAGUGUGGGCUGCAUCUCCACCCACCCACCAAAGGCAUCCCUCUGCUGGCCAGUUCCCCUGAGUUCCCAGGAGGCCUCUUUCCUCAAGUCCAGGUUUUGGAACAAGAGCUUAUGAGAGGCCCACACCCUGCUUCCUCCUGACGUUCAGUUCACUUUGUUGCCCUUGGAAAAGGCUGCUUUUCUUUAACUAAAAAUAACUGAAACUUGAAAAAAA
Molecule: RNA transcript, 659 nt
Organism: Myotis davidii
Lineage: Eukaryota; Metazoa; Chordata; Mammalia; Chiroptera; Vespertilionidae
Gene name: dynein light chain roadblock-type 1 pseudogene
Exons: 1
Source: RefSeq, a predicted model, not a curated record